This 75-nucleotide transfer RNA is filed under the name Verrucomicrobiales bacterium. Its description in RNAcentral is "tRNA-Ala". It matches the Rfam family "tRNA". From Rfam's summary of the family: Transfer RNA (tRNA) molecules are approximately 80 nucleotides in length. Their secondary structure includes four short double-helical elements and three loops (D, anti-codon, and T loops). Lineage: Bacteria; Pseudomonadati; Verrucomicrobiota; Verrucomicrobiia; Verrucomicrobiales. The record is from RNAcentral.
GGGGCUAUAGCUCAGUUGGUAGAGCGUCUCGUUCGCAAUGAGAAGGUCAGGAGUAUAAUUCUCCUUACCCCACCA